GAUGAACGCUGGCGGCGUGCCUAAUACAUGCAAGUCGAGCGAACGGACGAGAAGCUUGCUUCUCUGAUGUUAGCGGCGGACGGGUGAGUAACACGUGGAGAACCUACCUAUAAGACUGGGAUAACUUCGGGAAACCGGAGCUAAUACCGGAUAAUAUUUUGAACCGCAUGGUUCAAAAGUGAAAGACGGUCUUGCUGUCACUUAUAGAUGGAUCCGCGCUGCAUUAGCUAGUUGGUAAGGUAACGGCUUACCAAGGCAACGAUGCAUAGCCGACCUGAGAGGGUGAUCGGCCACACUGGAACUGAGACACGGUCCUGACUCCUACGGGAGGCAGCAGUAGGGAAUCUUCCGCAAUGGGCGAAAGCCUGACGGAGCAACGCCGCGUGAGUGAUGAAGGUCUUCGGAUCGUAAAACUCUGUUAUUAGGGAAGAACAUAUGUGUAAGUAACUGUGCACAUCUUGACGGUACCUAAUCAGAAAGCCACGGCUAACUACGUG
RNAcentral lists this ribosomal RNA (497 nucleotides) under uncultured bacterium. RNAcentral's name for it is "partial 16S ribosomal RNA". It matches the Rfam family "Bacterial small subunit ribosomal RNA", at positions 28 to 507 of the family's 1533-position model. The record is from RNAcentral.